Long non-coding RNA from Neopelma chrysocephalum (saffron-crested tyrant-manakin), 813 nucleotides. RefSeq lists it as uncharacterized. Lineage: Eukaryota; Metazoa; Chordata; Aves; Passeriformes; Pipridae. The transcript is spliced from 5 exons. The record is from RefSeq and is a predicted model, not a curated record.
CACAGAGAGACACAGAAGGAAAUAUUGGGAUGGGAAAGAACAGUUUAUUUACAUUACGUGAGAUGUGAUUGCAGACAGCGCACUGGGCUGUGGUAGAACUGACCAGUGGCACCUUGCCUUUGCUCUGCUCAUUCCCGCCGGAGCAGCUGUGCCACGGGGACGCUGAACUUCGGAGCAGCUGCCUGCAAUGAACCUUCACAUGCAGGAAUGUUGGCAGGAGUGCAUGGAAGCACAUCAGCAAGGUUUAGCUGGUGGAUCAUAUUGUGAAAUCUGCAGCCAUAAAAGGCCCUCCAUUUACUGCACCCUUCAAAACGAAAUGUUAGCAUGGGAGGCUAAGCUGGAGGCUAAUAACGAAGGAGUCAGUGAAGGAGACCGAUGCCACAAGGGUUAUCUCACAGCCCCAGAUGCUGGAUAAGUUGAAGCAGAAUCACUUUUGGAUGACAUUCAGGAAGGCCUUGAAUGAUUAUCUUGCGAAAAAAAGACUAUUCUUUCCAAGGGAUUUUUUCCUCUCAAUGCAGCAAUAAUCUCUCAGGAAUCCUUUUUGAGACAAAGGAUCACUCCACAUCCAACCACACCUAAGGAAAUGCUUUGAAGGAAUUGAGCAGCUUGCUUUUAAUCACAAGAGAGAAACUACCCACAUGGAGUCAGCAGAAAAUGAAAAAGUAGAGCUCGUGCUGCGAAUAAUUCCAGCAAGUGCCAAGGGGCUAGUUGAGAAAUGACUUCAUGAGGUGAAUAUCUUUAGCUCUUACUUAGGGUUUAGUUACUGUAUGAUCAUUUUCUCUUUUAGGAGCAAUGAAUAUCAUAAGCGUAUUU